Sebastes umbrosus (honeycomb rockfish) is the source of this 158-nucleotide long non-coding RNA. RefSeq lists it as uncharacterized. The transcript has 2 exons. Lineage: Eukaryota; Metazoa; Chordata; Actinopteri; Perciformes; Sebastidae. The record is from RefSeq and is a predicted model, not a curated record.
UAGUUUCAGAAUGCAGCCACAUUUUCGCUAAUUGGUCUCAAUAACCAUCUGCUGUAAUCCUUCCUUUUGUUUAUGCCUUCGAAAGCAUCGUCUUUUCACUCCUAUUCACAUUGUAUAUGAGGGUGCCGCCCAAUAAAGCACCAGGAGCUUGGACGCUA